This 563-nucleotide ribosomal RNA is filed under the name uncultured bacterium. RNAcentral describes it as "bacterial SSU rRNA". It matches the Rfam family "Bacterial small subunit ribosomal RNA", at positions 338 to 916 of the family's 1533-position model. The record is from RNAcentral.
CCUACGGGAGGCAGCAGUGAGGAAUCUUCGUCAAUGGGCGCAAGCCUGAACGAGCAACGCCGCGUGUGGGAAGACGGCCUUCGGGUUGUAAACCACUUUUCUCUGGAACGAGAAUGGACGGUACCAGAGGAAGAAGUCUCGGCUAACUACGUGCCAGCAGCCGCGGUAAUACGUAGGAGACGAGCGUUGUCCGGAGUUACUGGGCGUAAAGGGUGCGCAGGCGGUCCGUUUUGUGGGUGGUGAAAUCUCCUGGCUCAACUGGGAGGGGGCCAACCAAACGGGCGGACUUGAGGCGUGGAGAGGGACGUGGAAUUCCGGGUGGAGCGGUGAAAUGCGUAGAGAUCCGGAGGAACACCGACGGCGAAGGCAGCGUCCUGGCCACGACCUGACGCUCAGGCACGAAAGCUGGGGGAGCAAACAGGAUUAGAUACCCUGGUAGUCCCAGCUGUAAACGAUGUCCACCAGGUGCUGGAGGUAUCGACCCCUUCGGUGCCGAAGCUAACGUGAUGAGUGGACCGCCUGGGGAGUACGGCCGCAAGGUUAAAACUCAAAGGAAUUGACGG